UUCAAAGUCAGGUGCUGUGUUUCAGGUGCUGAUUCAAAAUACAGCUGCUGUAUUUUCUAACAUAAGUCUGUAAUUGAAGGGAUGAAGAUGAGCCUUCCAAAAUAGAAGAUCCUGAUGCUGUAAAGCCUGAGGGAUGGCUUGAUGAUGAAGCACAGUAUGUUCCAGACCCUAAUGCAAAAAAACCAAAGGACUGGGAUGAAGAUAUGGAUGGGGAGUGGGAAGCCCCUCAGAUCCCUAAUCCAAAGUGUGAGGCUGCACCUGGUUGUGGCCCAUGGGUGCGUCCCAUGAAGAAUAACCCAAACUAUAAAGGGAAAUGGAAAGCACCUUUGAUAGACAAUCCGAACUAUCAGGGAGUCUGGAGCCCUCGGAAAAUACCAAACCCAGACUAUUUUGAAGAUAGUCACCCAUUCAAGAUGACUGCUGUCAGUGCUAUUGGUUUAGAACUCUGGUCU
This is a long non-coding RNA of Neopsephotus bourkii (Bourke's parrot), 452 nucleotides long. RefSeq lists it as uncharacterized. The transcript is spliced from 3 exons. The record is from RefSeq and is a predicted model, not a curated record. NCBI's taxonomy places the organism in Eukaryota, Metazoa, Chordata, Aves, Psittaciformes, Psittacidae.